CAGGCGUUCUCACUGAGGUCUUGAGAUGAGAAACUCUGCAAAGGGGUGCUAACGUUUUUAUAAUUGACUUCUGAUCAGCCGGAUGCCGAGCAGCAGAGACAGAUGUUGUGGCUCAUUCUGGCUUGUCGCGGGGCUUGCCAACCAUAAUUUGGAACAUUCCCUGCACCUGUGCCCUGUCCUCUCCAGUUACAGACAUGUUUGUACCUGGUGCUGUUGCCGUUCAGGAGCAUGCUUCUUAAAUAAAACUGCAGUAAGCAAAACUGAUGGCCGGAUAAUGUUUGAAGCGAAUGGAGGAAUUGAAACAUGAUAGCUGCAUUCGCACCCCUUCAGGCAGGUUCCCCAGGGAGCGCACUGUGUUACAGUCUUCCCCCAUCCACUCCACAGUUCUGAGAUGCACAGAGAUGAUAACACACUCUGUACGUGAGAUCUUAAAUACCAGUCAGCUGUCGUGUGUGAAUCCCUGGAUGAGUAUUCAGCUCUCCGUCUGCCCUUUCCACGCUUGCUGCCUGCCUACCUGUCUACUCGCCGCCUCAUCUGUCCACAGCAGAAUAGAGCUGUGCCUUUAUCUGACAGCAGCGUCAAGGUCCCGAGA
Sinocyclocheilus rhinocerous is the source of this 592-nucleotide long non-coding RNA. RefSeq lists it as uncharacterized. Lineage: Eukaryota; Metazoa; Chordata; Actinopteri; Cypriniformes; Cyprinidae. The record is from RefSeq and is a predicted model, not a curated record. The transcript is spliced from 4 exons.